CCUAAUUCCUCCGCCUAAGCAUUUGUUUAUCUAAUGAUUUCCAUAUCACUAAUAGGGGCACCUUAUCAGUUACAGUCUGAUUAGCACAGACAGUGAUUUCCGUAAAAUCACUAAUCUGACUUUUGAACUCACCUGUUAAUGGCAGAAAGGUGUGAGUCGCUAUGGUUUGUUAAUUGGAUCAGUUUGCUACACCAAUCAACUUCUCAUUGACUGACUUCGGCUUAUGUAUACAAGAUUGCUGUUGUUUGAAUCUCAUGGGACCAAAUUUCCUUCUCGAGUCAUCGUGUGUAUUUAUGAGACGAAUUCGUGUAACCGGUAUUCAAAUGAUGACAACUAUAACAGGGAAUGGUCGGGACCGACAGGUACUUCGAGUUAUGCAUAAUAUUCGAGAUACCGGCAUUCAACUCAUCGGGAUUGGACUGUAUUUACAAAACAGCGUCUGAAUAGAAUUUAGAAUCAGGCCAUUAAUAAAAUCCUAAAUUUGUGUAUUGUGUGAGUAAAUGAAAACUUCAUUCUAUCACAGAAGUUUAUGUGUAGAUGAUACUAUUUUCAUAAUGAUAAACAUUAAUAAUUUUUCUUGACGCUAUUUCUGAUUAUCGAACUUUUUUUUAGCCAGUCCUAUUACCCAACCCUUUCAACAACCCCACGCCCAUGCACCUUUACACCUCAAGCUCCAGACCGCCCAAACAUUACCCCAAGACAAGGAUAUCAGUUUAUAAUAGUGUUCUGGUAAGAUAAACAUAUAAUCCUCAUACCGUCAGUCAGUGUAGACUUGUCACUGUUGCAGGUUGAAGGACAUGUUUUUAUAUAGACUGGUGAUGGCCAGGUUUGAUGUGUACAAUGUUGUAAGAAGCGAUGUUGGACGAGGAUUGUCUUUCAGUCAUGUUUGCUGGAUGUUGUCUGUGAUAAGUGUGAUUUUAACGGGUAUUUAUUGACUUGUGUUGUGAUGACAUCUGUUUAGCAUGGAUACAUCAAUGUAUCAUCGAGGGGAUAACAUCUACAUUGUAUCGAUACAGGGACCCAACUGUAGGGUUGACAAGGAUUUAUUAUUGAGGUAUACCAUUCACAGGGUUAACAGCUGUUGAGUAUUGAGGUAUACUAUAGACGGGGUUGUCAUGUUUUAGUAUUGAGGUGUCACAUGCAUAGAGUUAACGACUGUUUUGUAUCGGUACAGGUAUACCAUGCAUAAAGUUGACAACUGUUUUGUAUCGGUACAGGUAUACCAUGCAUAGAGUUGACAACUGUUUCAUAUCGGUACAGGUAUACCAUGCAUAGAGUUGACGACUUUCGUAUCGGUACAGGUAUACCAUGCAUAAAGUUGACGACUUUUGUAUUGAUACAGGUAUACCAUGCAUAGAGUUGACAACUGUUUCGUAUCAGUACAGGUAUACCAUGCAUAAAGUUGACAGUUGUUUUGUAUCGGUACAGGUAUACCAUGCAUAGAGUUGACGACUUUUGUAUCGGUACAGGUAUACCAUGCAUAAAGUUGACAACUGUUUUGUAUUGGUACAGGUAUACCAUGCAGAGAGUUGACAACUGUUUAGUAUCGGUACAGGUAUACCAUGCAUAAAGUUGACAACUGUUUCGUAUCGGUACAGGUAUACCAUGCAUAGAGUUGACAACUGUUAAGUAUCGGUACAGGUAUACCAUGCAUAGAGUUGACAACUGUUAAGUAUCGGUACAGGUAUACCAUGCAUAGAGUUGACGACUGUUUCGUAUCGGUACAGGUAUACCAUGCAUAGAGUUGACAACUGUUUUGUAUCGGUACAGGUAUACCAUGCAUAGAGUUGACAACUGUUUUGUAUCGGUACAGGCAUACCAUGCAUAGAGUUGACGACUGUUUCGUAUCGGUACAGGUAUACCAUGCAUAAAGUUGACGACUGUUUUGUAUUGAUACAGGUAUACCAUGCAUAGAGUUGACAACUGUUUCGUAUCAGUACAGGUAUACCAUGCAUAAAGUUGACAGUUGUUUUGUAUCGGUACAGGUAUACCAUGCAUAGAGUUGACGACUUUUGUAUCGGUACAGGUAUACCAUGCAUAAAGUUGACAACUAUUUCGUAUCGGUACAGGUAUACCAUGCAUAGAGUUGACAACUGUUUAGUAUCGGUACAGGUAUACCAUGCAUAAAGUUGACAACUGUUUUGUAUUGAUACAGGUAUACCAUGCAUAGAGUUGACAACUGUUUUGUAUCGGUACAGGUAUACCAUGCAUAAAGUUGACGACUGUUUUGUAUUGAUACAGGUAUACCAUGCAUAGAGUUGACAACUGUUUCGUAUCAGUACAGGUAUACCAUGCAUAAAGUUGACAACUGUUUUGUAUUGAUACAGGUAUACCAUGCAUAGAGUUGACAACUGUUUCGUAUCAGUACAGGUAUACCAUGCAUAAAGUUGACAACUGUUUUGUAUCGGUACAGGUAUACCAUGCAUAGAGUUGACGACUGUUUCGUAUCGGUACAGAUAUACCAUGCAUAGAGUUGACAAUUGUUUUGUAUCGGUACAGGUAUACCAUGCAUAAAGUUGACAACUGUUUAGUAUCAAUACAAGGCCCCCAUCUAUAGGGUUGACAUCUGUUUGGUAUUGAUACAUGAUACAGAUUUUUAUGAAGCAAGAGAAUAACAUCCAUUUAUAUCAAUACAAAUAUGUACCAUCUGUCUAUCAGUUGGUUAGCCUACCACUGUACAGUGUGUAUCCAGUUGUUAUACAGUAGUGCUGGAUAUAUCCCUAGCAUGAUAGCUUGCGUUUUGUCGGUGUACGUCCCGAGCCAUGAGGUCUAAUGCUGGUACUAGCAUCAUGGUGCCCCGAAAGGCCAAUAUAUAUAUAGUAUGGUGAUGAUUAAGUAUGAAAAAAGUAAUAAUAUACCGUAUAUAUUUGGACUCCAAUUUUACGGUUUUCUUUUCCUGUAGUACUGUAUUGUAGCCAGCAAAACGUUGAUGUUAGGGGUUACUUUUAAUCUGUUAAUUUUGAACCUGGAUAGGUUGGUUUAAUGUUUCCAGUGAGGCUUUUUUUUUGCAGCUUAAAAAUGUGAGAAAUCGGUUCUCCUGUUUAUCCUAAACAGACUUGACCUUUAUGAGACUGACAAGUGAUAACAUCAGUUUCUAUUCCCUUCUGCAUGCUGUGCUUGAUUUCAAGUAUAUUGUUGCCUUAUUCACACUAACAUUUUCACAUACUUUCUGAGGUGUGGUCUGUACAGAUUCUCACUGCACUCUGCCUGGUUUAUAGUACAACGUCAUUAUGCCACUCAAUGGAACACUCAAGCCUAAAACAUCAGUACAACACAGAUCUUUGUGGCCUACAUCUGUGAUUAAGCUGAAGAUUUGAUGUGUUUUAGGAACUUCCCCAUGACUAUUGUUAGUUUGAUAUAAUUUCAUGUUUAAUGCAAAAUCUGGCUUUGAAAAGCUCCAGUCAAAAAUGAGGCGUGGACCAGUUGGAUAAUAUAUCUUUGAGAGGGAUUUAGAACAUGUUUGAACAUGAAGACAUCAAACUUUUUAUCAUAUAAUGGCUACUGUUAGCAAUGUGAUAACCCUGGUAUUAGCAUAAUGUGAUAAAUAUGCAAAUGAGGUAACUGGGCAGGAACUACUUACAUGCUAAGGUCUGUGUAUCAAAUCGGUGCUUGCUUACUGAAAAAAAUAUUCCCAUACAGUUCCUAAUACAUAAGACAAAAAUGGCAGCCAUUCAUCUGAAGCUUUAUCAUAAAUAGGGCGGUGUAUUCGUGUUGCAUUUCUUCAGUUUCUUUAGUCACAUUACAAGUAAAUAUGUACUCAGUUUUUGUUAUUUUAAGAUUAGCAUUAUAUGAUAAAGGGUUUGUGUGCUUCCAUAUCAAAAAUAUAUACGGUGUUGGUUAUGUUUGUCAAGGCGAACAUCAUACAAGUUUUGUUAUGGUUCAUAGUAACUAUACAGAAAUACACUUAGCUUGGUAUGGCUGACGAUUAUUCUGUCUAUCCAUGUUUCAGGGCUACUUCCUGCCACUUCACCUGAUGUCUGUUUAAUGUUUGUUUAAAGCCACACUCUGCAAUAUCCAGCUACAUGAUGGCGGUCUGAUAAUAAUCACGGACCAAACAAUCCAGUGAUCGAUAUCAGUCACCUAUGUCAAGUAUGGGUUGCUGAAGACCAGUUAAAACAUGAAGGAGCCGGAAGCUGCCCUAAAAUGUAUGGAUAAACAAUAACUUGCUGGCCAAGUAUCCCAUCAUCCUGUCAGACUUUCGCAAACUGUGUAUUGACACAAAGUAGAACUUAGGAGGCACAGCUAACCCAGCCGUCUGAGCUAACCAUAGGUCGCUGUGGAGAGUUCCUUACCUUAGGUGUAAUAGAAACCUAUGAUCAUGGGUUGGAAUCUGAGAUACUCAGAGAUUGGUUCUUGGUUCACUGGCAGCAUGCUGGUAUUCGAGUUUCAGUGAAGUGGAAAUUAUCUGACUGACCAGUGGUUUAACUGAUGUAAACACCAUGGUAGAACUUAAAUAACAUUCAAAGCCCAUUAUAUCAAACUGACAGUUAGGACUUGAAUUGGCUGAUGUUUAUGACUGACUAAUGGUAGCAUCUCACAGGAGCUUGGCCGCUCCUCUGGAUUGUUUUAGCCUUGACUAGUCUCUUGUUCUUAUGUAGACAGGCCUCUGUGAGGGCCAGAUUUUAUACUGGAUCUGAUGCGAUAUGUGUGUAUAUAUUAGCAGUUCAUUUGUAGAUGUGUAUGUGUACAGCUUAGCAGCAGAUUAUUUAUUAAUUUGUUUGUACAUUUAUGAUUACAUAGAAAACUGAAAGUGCUUUUAAUUCUUGAAAUUUAGGAAUAUUUGUGCUUGUGUUUUUUUGGAGAGAAAAACUUCUUUUACAAAUUGUGUGCUGUGUACAUUUAUUAUAGAUGUUGUCUUGCAGCAUGUUGUUGUCCAGGGGGUUAUAACAAGGUCACCGAUUUGAGAAGGAACACAGUUUGCCUCAGACAAGGAAAUUCAUACUCCUCGCAGAGGGUAUUUGGAAAAUAUAUUUUGGGGGGGAUAUAAACUUUUGAUGGAAUUUACAAAAAUAUUUUGAUAUGAGUUAUUAUAUUAACCCAUGUGCUUCUGUUUGAUGCAUGGCCAGGUGUAUUUAUCUACUCAUGGUUACUGUGUCUGCAUGUUGUCUGUUAUUACAACUAGUUUGUAUCGUGAAGUUUCCACCUCCUCAGUGUCCACACAGUGCUGUAUUUAUAGCAGUCCUUAUUUGCUGCUAUGCCACCACCAGCCAGCAAAAUAAAAACUCUAAAAUACUU
Long non-coding RNA from Haliotis rubra (blacklip abalone), 5235 nucleotides. RefSeq lists it as uncharacterized. NCBI's taxonomy places the organism in Eukaryota, Metazoa, Mollusca, Gastropoda, Lepetellida, Haliotidae. The record is from RefSeq and is a predicted model, not a curated record. The transcript has 2 exons.